Toxotes jaculatrix (banded archerfish) is the source of this 1471-nucleotide long non-coding RNA. RefSeq lists it as uncharacterized. The transcript is spliced from 2 exons. The record is from RefSeq and is a predicted model, not a curated record. Lineage: Eukaryota; Metazoa; Chordata; Actinopteri; Toxotidae.
GGAGAUUAUAAAGUCAGCUCCUGAUUGAGAUCGAGGACAGCAGGCUUUGCAUGGUUUUGAUCGGCCCACCGAUGAUCGAGGCGCCUGUCCUGCAGCAGAAACGACGGGCUUCUGGAUUCUCUUGAAAAACGCCAAUCGGGUGUUUGUCGAAGCCUCGUUGUUGGAUUCAAGCCCUGACCCCGGCGAGCGGCGCUCUCGCCGGGCCGCAGCCUAUCGCUCCACCUCGGCCGUUCAGCUGCGAGGAUGUCAUCUUUCUUUUUUUAUCGCCCGCUCUCCCUCCUCCCUCCCUGUCUCUUUCUUCCUUUUCUUUUUUAAUUCCUCUUUCUUCUCCCCCUCCUCUCCUUUCCUCGCACCGCUAUGUCCCACUUGCACUUAAAGGGAUAGGGUUUCCUCUUUGGACACCCCCCUCUCAUUUCCGUCUCCCUCGGCGGAGCCCGUCCUCUCCCCUUCCUUCCUGGGAUUUUCGGCCGACACAAAAUGCGCUACAGUGUGUUGUUUUUUUUUUUUUCUUUCCUCCUCAGGCCAGCUGGAACAGAUCUGCACCGCAGAAAACAGCCAGAAUGACUUUCCAUUAACGGAGAGAUGACAGACGCAUCUUAAAGGGCAGUGCGCACAGAUCCUCCCAGUCAGCCCAUAAUCAUGAUGUCAGAGUCAGAUAUAGCACACCGGACGAAUAGCAGCUGUUUGCAUUGCAUAAAUACAGAUAACAAAAAACAUAUAUAUGAAUACAUUCACACAAAGGACAUAAUGUAUUGUUCUUAACACACACACACACACACACACAUAUAUAUAUAUAAAUCUCCAAGGAGUGAGAAUUUAUAAUAAACAAUAAAAUUAAACCUGAAACAAGAUGGAUUAAUCCAUUAGUGGAUGGAGCAAAAUUAACUGGCAGCCACUCUGAUGACCGAUUCGUCGUUUGAGCCAAUUUUAAGUUAAAAUCCCUCAAAAUUUACUAUUUCCAGUUUCUCAAAUGUGAAUCUUUGUUGAUUUUCCAUGAUUGUAAACUGAAUGUCUUUGGGGUUGUUUCACUAAUCCUGACCUCAGUCAGCAUUUACUGACACAUCUCAGCACCAGAAGACCAAUUGUUUUCCUGUUUUCCUACAAGAUGUCAUAUAUUACUACUAAAAUAACUGGCAGAUAAUCAAAACAAUCUAAACUAAUUUAACUAUUUUUUUCAUUUAUUGUUUGGUUGGUGAAAUUUCAGCGAAGAGUAAAAAAUAUAUAUAAAUUUUAAAAACUGACAUAUAUAGAUCAAAAACCCAAAGAUGUCCAGUGUAAUAUAAUAGAAGCCAAGAAAAGUUCACAUUCAAGAAACUGUAACAGGGAUUUAUUUUGCAUUUUUAUUUAAAAAAUGACUUAAAUGAUUGAUUAAGUUCUGUCAGUUGACUAACCAGUUUUCUGUUAGCUAAGACAAGUUGCAGCCUUGUAAUAAACAUCUUAAUAAUACUGUCAUUAAAGUACAUCAAAUCCA